Non-coding RNA from Triticum aestivum (bread wheat), 119 nucleotides. Lineage: Eukaryota; Viridiplantae; Streptophyta; Magnoliopsida; Poales; Poaceae. The record is from Rfam.
GGAUGUGACCAUACCAGCACUAAAGCACCGGAUCCCAUCAGAACUCCGAAGUUAAGCGUGCUUGGGAGAGAGAAGUACUAGGAUGGGUGACCUCCUGGGAAGUCCUCGUGUUGCAUUCC